CCUACGGGAGGCAGCAGUGGGGAAUAUUGCGCAAUGGGCGAAAGCCUGACGCAGCGACGCCGCGUGAGGGAUGAAGGUCUUCGGAUCGUAAACCUCUGUCAGUAGGGAAGUACGGUCACUGUGCUAAUCAGCAGUGAAUGGACGGUAUCUGCAAAGGAAGCACCGGCUAACUCCGUGCGAGCAGCCGCGGUAAUACGGAGGGUGCGUGCGUUAAUCGGAAUUACUGGGCGUAAAGCGCUCGUAGGCGGUAUGUCAAGUCAAGGGUGAAAUCCCGCCGCUCAACGGGGGAACUGCCUUUGAUACUGGCAGACUGGAGUAUAUGAGAGGAUAGUGGAAUUCCAGGUGUAGGAGUGAAAUCCGUAGAUAUCUGGAGGAACAUCAGUGGCGAAGGCGACUAUCUGACACAUAACUGACACUGAGGAGCGAAAGCGUGGGUAGCAAACAGGAUUAGAUACCCCAGUAGUC
Molecule: ribosomal RNA, 465 nt
Filed under: uncultured bacterium
Lineage: Bacteria
Description: partial 16S ribosomal RNA
Rfam family: Bacterial small subunit ribosomal RNA
Source: RNAcentral